This 1387-nucleotide ribosomal RNA is filed under the name bacterium. RNAcentral describes it as "bacterial SSU rRNA". It matches the Rfam family "Bacterial small subunit ribosomal RNA". The record is from RNAcentral.
CAGUCGAACGAUGAUGCCCAGCUUGCUGGGCGGAUUAGUGGCGAACGGGUGAGUAAUACGUGAGUAACCUGCCCUUGACUCUGGGAUAAGCCUGGGAAACUGGGUCUAAUACUGGAUACUACCUCUUGCCGCAUGGUGGGUGGUGGAAAGGGUUUUACUGGUUUUGGAUGGGCUCACGGCCUAUCAGCUUGUUGGUGGGGUAAUGGCUCACCAAGGCGACGACGGGUAGCCGGCCUGAGAGGGUGACCGGCCACACUGGGACUGAGACACGGCCCAGACUCCUACGGGAGGCAGCAGUGGGGAAUAUUGCACAAUGGGCGGAAGCCUGAUGCAGCGACGCCGCGUGAGGGAUGACGGCCUUCGGGUUGUAAACCUCUUUCAGUAGGGAAGAAGCGAGAGUGACGGUACCUGCAGAAGAAGCGCCGGCUAACUACGUGCCAGCAGCCGCGGUAAUACGUAGGGCGCAAGCGUUGUCCGGAAUUAUUGGGCGUAAAGAGCUCGUAGGCGGUUUGUCGCGUCUGCUGUGAAAGCCCGGGGCUCAACCCCGGGUCUGCAGUGGGUACGGGCAGACUAGAGUGCAGUAGGGGAGACUGGAAUUCCUGGUGUAGCGGUGAAAUGCGCAGAUAUCAGGAGGAACACCGAUGGCGAAGGCAGGUCUCUGGGCUGUUACUGACGCUGAGGAGCGAAAGCAUGGGGAGCGAACAGGAUUAGAUACCCUGGUAGUCCAUGCCGUAAACGUUGGGCACUAGGUGUGGGGGACAUUCCACGUUUUCCGCGCCGUAGCUAACGCAUUAAGUGCCCCGCCUGGGGAGUACGGCCGCAAGGCUAAAACUCAAAGGAAUUGACGGGGGCCCGCACAAGCGGCGGAGCAUGCGGAUUAAUUCGAUGCAACGCGAAGAACCUUACCAAGGCUUGACAUUCACCGGACCGCCCCAGAGAUGGGGUUUCCCUUCGGGGCUGGUGGACAGGUGGUGCAUGGUUGUCGUCAGCUCGUGUCGUGAGAUGUUGGGUUAAGUCCCGCAACGAGCGCAACCCUCGUUCUAUGUUGCCAGCACGUGAUGGUGGGGACUCAUAGGAGACUGCCGGGGUCAACUCGGAGGAAGGUGGGGAUGACGUCAAAUCAUCAUGCCCCUUAUGUCUUGGGCUUCACGCAUGCUACAAUGGCCGGUACAAAGGGUUGCGAUACUGUGAGGUGGAGCUAAUCCCAAAAAGCCGGUCUCAGUUCGGAUUGAGGUCUGCAACUCGACCUCAUGAAGUCGGAGUCGCUAGUAAUCGCAGAUCAGCAACGCUGCGGUGAAUACGUUCCCGGGCCUUGUACACACCGCCCGUCAAGUCACGAAAGUUGGUAACACCCGAAGCCGGUGGCCUAACCCCUUGUGGGAGGGAG